RNAcentral lists this ribosomal RNA (422 nucleotides) under uncultured bacterium. Its description in RNAcentral is "bacterial SSU rRNA". It matches the Rfam family "Bacterial small subunit ribosomal RNA", at positions 359 to 776 of the family's 1533-position model. The record is from RNAcentral.
GAAUCUUCCGCAAUGGGCGAAAGCCUGACGGAGCGACACCGCGUGCAGGAUGAAGGCCUUCGGGUUGUAAACUGCUGUCACGCCAUAGGAACGACGCGUUGCGAAUACCAACGCGUUUUACUAAAGCGCGAGGAAGCACCGGCUAACUCUGUGCCCGCAGCCGCGGUAAGACAGAGGGUGCAAACGUUGUUCGGAAUUACUGGGCAUAAAGAGCACGUAGGCGGUUCGCCAAGUCGUGCGUGAAAUCCCCCGGCUCAACCGGGGAAUUGCGCGUGAUACUGGCGGACUUGAGAUCGGUAGGGGUGAGUGGAACUCCAGGUGGAGCGGUGAAAUGCGUAGAUAUCUGGAGGAACACCGGUGGCGAAAGCGACUCACUGGACCGACACUGACGCUGAGGUGCGAAAGCUAGGGUAGCAAACGGG